Molecule: unclassified non-coding RNA, 293 nt
Filed under: Ascomycota sp.
Lineage: Eukaryota; Fungi; Ascomycota
Description: partial contains small subunit ribosomal RNA, internal transcribed spacer 1, and 5.8S ribosomal RNA
Rfam family: Eukaryotic small subunit ribosomal RNA (bases 1-47)
Source: RNAcentral
AAAGUCGUAACAAGGUUUCCGUAGGUGAACCUGCGGAAGGAUCAUUACAGUGCCUGCGGGGCCGCCGACGACCUCGGCGUUCCCCGCGCCUGGCCACCCGUGUCUACCUUACCUUCUGUUGCUUCGGCGGGCCCGUCCCCCCAGGGGGACCGCCAGGAGGGCAGCGUACCCACGCGCCACCCCCUCCCGGCCCGCGCCCGCCGAGGGACCCCCUGAACUUCUUGCGAAGAUAGUGUCGUCUGAGUCGAUUGGCAAUGAAACUAAAACUUUCAACAACGGAUCUCUUGGUUCCG